UAGUUUUAUUCUUGCUAGUUUGCUUGUUUUUGGCUUGUUGUAUAUGUAAGUUUUUGCGCGAUUUUUCUCUCUUAAUGAUUUAUUCUUUUUAUUCGCAUUAUCUAUUUUUAUAUAUUGGAGCAAUCCAGAUUUGGUUAUGUCUUUUAGGGUUGGUUAAAUUUGUGCCAGCAGCCGCGGUUAUACAUGGGACUCAAAUAAUUAUUUUUGGCUGAUAGUUUUAUUUAAUUUCUUUUGGGUUGUGUUUUCUUGUUUUUUGGUGAAAUUUUAUAUUUUUAUUAUUUCCUUCUUCUUGUUUUGUAAGCUAUGAAAUCUUUUUUUUAAACUAGGAUUAGAUACCCUAUUAUUUUUGAUGUUAAUUUUCUGGCCUGAGUAGUAUUAGUUAUUUUCUUGAAACUUAAAGAAUUUGGCGGUAUUUCAAUCUGUUCAGAGGAAUCUGCCCCGUUAUCGAUAACCCGCGUUGGACCUUACUUGGUUUUUUUGUUUGUAUACCGCCGUUAUAAUGAGGAUCUUUUUAGGGGCUUUCAAUUCUUACUUUUCUUUAUUUUGAUAUAUUUCAGGUCAAGGUGCAGCUUUAUAGCUUAGUUGGAGGUGGAUUACUUUUAUAUUUGUCUUUGAAUUUUUACUGAAAUUGUUUUUAUGAAAUUGGAUUUGAUUGUAAUUUAUUGUAGAUUGUUUUAAUGAUCUUAGUUCUGGGAUAUGCACACAUCGCCCGUCGCUCUCGUUGUUUUGAGGCGAGAUAAGUCGUAACAAAGUGGUCUUACCGGAAGGUGAGGCUAGAAUG
This 781-nucleotide non-coding RNA is filed under the name Archotermopsis wroughtoni. Lineage: Eukaryota; Metazoa; Arthropoda; Insecta; Blattodea; Termopsidae. The record is from RNAcentral.